RNAcentral lists this ribosomal RNA (639 nucleotides) under uncultured Eubacteriales bacterium. RNAcentral describes it as "bacterial SSU rRNA". It matches the Rfam family "Bacterial small subunit ribosomal RNA", at positions 61 to 710 of the family's 1533-position model. Lineage: Bacteria; Bacillati; Bacillota; Clostridia; Eubacteriales. The record is from RNAcentral.
GAUGAAACUUAGUAGACUUCUUCGGAAUGACACUAAGCGAAUUAGUGGCGAACGGGUGAGUGACGCGUGAGUAACCUGCCUUACACAAGGGGAUAGCCUUUGGAAACGAAGAAUAAUACCCUAUAAAACUAUAAAAGCACAUGCUAGAAUGGUCAAAGUGCUAGCGGUGUAGGAUGGACUUGCGUCUGAUUAGCUAGUUGGUGAGAUAAAAGCUCACCAAGGCAACGAUCAGUAGCCGGCUUGAGAGAGUGUACGGCCACAUUGGGACUGAGACACGGCCCAGACUCCUACGGGAGGCAGCAGUGGGGAAUUUUGCACAAUGGGGGAAACCCUGAUGCAGCGACGCCGCGUGAUUUAGAAGGCCUUCGGGUUGUAAAAAUCUUUUGUAUAGGAAGAAAAUGACAGUACUAUACGAAUAAGGUCCGGCUAAUUACGUGCCAGCAGCCGCGGUAAUACGUAAGGACCGAGCGUUGUCCGGAAUCAUUGGGCGUAAAGGGUACGUAGGCGGCUAGAAAAGUUAGAGGUCAAAGGCUAUAGCUCAACUAUAGUAAGCUUCUAAAACUAUUUAGCUUGAGAAAUGGAAGGGAAAGUGGAAUUCCUAGCGUAGCGGUGGAAUGCGCAGAUAUUAGGAAGAAUACC